CUCUGGAAGUUUUGCACGUCGCUGUGAAAAUCUUUGUCGUUACCCUUUGAAAGGUGGGCGUUGGGAAGUAGGUUUUAAAUCUAGCUUCAGAUGACAUGCAGAAAAGUCUGAAAUAGCAGCAAUCUUUCUGAUUUAGUAGAGUGUUGGAAUCCUUUAGUUGUGAAAUGAGAUGAAAAUUCUAUUCCCCAGAAUUUGUUUGAAGUAGUGUUUGGUAGGAAUAUUUUGUUAUGCUACCUGGGGUGGGGACGGUAUCUCAAAAACACAGGCUGGUUGCACGUGGUCACUAGGCUAUCUUCUCGGGAGUGUAAGUGCAAUCAGCUAGAGCCCUCUGAGUUUCACUGAGAAUUUUGAUGGGUUUACAUCUGUGAACUUGAAGGUAGAAGCCAAGAAGAGGUAAAUGCUUAGUAUAAAUAGAGAAGAAAUAUAUUAGAAGUGAGAGAGAAAGAGAAAUCUUGUGGCACACUCCAGAGCCAUCAAAGGGGAAGCAGUAUUAGAGGAGGAGUAUUCAAGAGAGAUCUCUGGUACUGGCGAGCCAAGGGUGGAAGUCAAAGAACAGAUAUGUUAAGGGGGAUUCCCACAAAUGUUUAUUUUGAAAAAUACCAAAACUUCAGAAAAGUUAUAAGAAUCGUACAUUAAACACUGGUGUAUCCCUUAUGUGUACAUAUAAAUGUAUACAGAGGGACAGAGAGUGCACUUUUAUUAACAUGUGUAUUGACAUUUUGUAUAUAGAUAGGCAGAUAAGAAAGUUGAUACAGAGAGAAAUGUGUGUGUAUAUAUAUAUAUAUUUUUUUUUUUCUUUUUCUGAACCAUAUGAAGGUUGUUGGUAGACAUCAUGCAGCUUCACCACUAAGUGCUUCAGUAUGUGUUUCCUGAGAACAAGGCCAUUGCUCCUAUAUAACCAGGAUGCAAUUGUCCCACUCAGGAACUUAAGCUUGCUAAAAUACAAUAUCUAACAUUUAGUGCAUAUUCAAAUUUCCCCAUUGUCCCAAAAAUAUCCUUAUAAAUCUCCAAUUUAAAGGGGAUUUUAAAAUUGUUUGCUGUGUUCAACAUAAAUGCCUUUUCCAUUUUCCCCACAAAGUCAUCAAAAGCAACCACAUUUCUCAUCAACGUUUUUUGCCAAUGAAUUCUGUGGGGGAAAUUAUAGAUGUCCCAUGUCCAGAUUGGCAGGGAGUGAAAAUAGAAAUAAUAGCAGCUGCCAGAAGAGAGAUUGGUUGACGCGGAUUCCAUUUGCGUCAACGAUUUGGAGGAGAGGAGCUUUGUAGAGGCAGUAAGUAGCAGAGACAGAUUGAAAACCACCUAGUCUGUUCCUAGGGUGUUGCCCCUUUUCUUACCACUCAUGUUUUAAAUCUGUCCUCUCUUAGUUGUUAGUAGUUUUCCCAGAUCCUACCAUGUACAUUCAGCUUGCUCUCAUAGGUCUCUUUUUAAAAAAUAGAUCUAUUUUGAGAGCAGUUUUAUAUUUACAGAAAAAUUGAGAAAAUAGUACAGAGUUCCUAUAUAUCCUCUUUACCUCUGCACACAAUUUCCACUAUCAACAUCUUACAUUAGUAGAGAAUAUUAGUUACAACUGAUGCACCAGUAUUCACAAAUUAUGAUUAAUGGAAUCCAUACUUAAUUCAGAUUUCCAUAGUUUUUAACCUAGAGUCCUUUCUGUUCCAAGAUCCCGUCCAGGAAUCAAAAUUUCAUUUAGUUGUUAUUUCUCCUUAGGCUCCUUAGACUGUAACAGUUUCUCAGACUUUUCUUGUUUUUGAUGUCCUCAAUGGUUUCGAACUCAUAGGUUUUUCGAUAAUUUAAUCUCCCUACGUUGCCCGGCAAAGCACCACAAAAAGUAUUGUUUCCAAUUAAAUAAAAUGUCAGACAAUUGGUGGAAAUCAAAUCCUGUUUGAAGUAGCUGCAUGAUAAGGAUGAUAAAGUUAUUUUAGCAGUUGUGUUUGGUUUUGGUCAUUUUAUAACUACUCAUUGAUUAAAUAUGGGCUAUCGAGUUCACAGGAUUCAUUGACUGGCAUAGUCUUCUUUGGGUGGAUUGAGUCAAUGAAGCUCCAGGCAUAAAGAUCAACUGAGAGAGAACCAUACAGAAGGUGCCUUUUCCUCUGGAAACUUGUGUUGUAACAGAUGAUACAUGACAGAUGUUUUAUGCUUUUCUCAUCAUCUUUGCAAGAAUCUCGGGGUAAUUUUGCUUGAGACAUAUGCUGCUAUCCUUUGCCAAGGAAGUAUUUCUCUUGUCUUUUAAAUUUUUUUAAAUCAAAAUAUAAUUUACAUGUAGUGAUAAGCACAGAUCUUAUGUGCAUAGUUAGGUGUUUUGACAAAUGUUUUGACAGAUGUAAGCCACAUCUCAUCGGACAGAGAACAUGUUCAUCACUAUAGAAAAUGAUCUCAUGCCUUUUCCAAAUAAGUGCCUGCCCUUAAUUCCCAGAGGCAACCAAUGGUUCAAUUUCUUUACCAUAGAUUAAGUUGGCUUGUCCUAGGACUUCAUCAAAUGGGAUCAUGCAGUUUGUACUCUUUUGUGUCUGGGCAUCUUUAGUUUAACAUAAUGUUUUUGAGAUUUGUUCAUGUUUUGUGUCUAUCAAAAGUUUAUUCUAUUUUAUUGCUGAGUAGUAUUCAUUGUAUUGUAUUAAUAUACCACAACUUCUUUUUUUUUUAUACCACAACUUCUUUAUCUACUUUUAUAUUGAUAAAAAUUUGCUUUUUUUCCCGAUUUUUGGGGGCUAUUUUGAAUGAAGUUGUUGUGAAUAUUCUUGUUUAUGUCCUUUUUGUGGACUUCUGUUUCUCUUGAGGGUGGAGUUUCUGGAGCGUGUUUAAUGUCAUAAGAAAACGUCAAACCAUUUCCCAGAGAGGUUGUAACAUUUUAUACUCUGUGUUAGUUAUCUACCGCUGCAUGACAAUAUUACCACAAAUUUAACAGCAAAAAGCAAUAUACUUUUUUUUUCUCCCAGUUUGGAUCAGGAGGCUGGGCAUAGCUUAGAUAAUCCUUUGCAAGGCUGUGAUUGAGUGCUGACCCAAACUGGGUUCUCCUGCUUUAACUGGGGAAGGACAUGAUUCCAGACUCAUGUGGUUUUUGGCAGAAUUCACUUCCUUGUGUUGUGUGAUCGAGAACUUCAAUUUCUUGCUGGCUGCGAGCUGGUGGCCGCCCUCAGCUGCUAGAGAGGCUGCCAACAGUUCCCUACCAUGUGGGGUUCUUUAACAUGGGCAGUUGCUUCCUCAAAGCCAGUGAAGGAGCAAGAGGUUCCAUCCAGCAAGGUGAAUGCAGCAAUCUCAUAAAAUGUAAUCAUGUAAUCAAAUAUAUUUAAUCAUAUACAUCCCAUUACCUUUGCCGUAUUUUAAUGUAAGUCCCACUCACACUCAAGGGGAGGGAUCACACAGGGAAUGAAUACCAGAAGGUGGGGAUUAAAGGGGCCAGUGUAAGAGUAUGUACACCACACACUCCUACCGUAAAUGAAUGGUUGCUUCACAUCUUUGCCAACAUUCGGUGUUGCCAUUUAUUUAAUUUUAGCCAUUCCAGUUGUUGUAGAAUAUGCCACUGUGAUUUAUUGUUAUUUUAUUUUGUGAGUAUAGUUGGCACGCAAUGUUCAGUUAGUUUAAGGCAUACAACAUAUGAUUUGACAAGUUUGUGCGUUACACCAUGCUCACUACAAAAGUAACUACCAUCUGUCACCUACAACCCUAUUACAAUAUCAUUGGCUACUUCCCUAUGCUGUACCUUUUACUCCCAUUGUGGUUUUAAUUUGUACCUCUAAUGUCUAACGAUGCUAAGUAUUUCUCUAUGAGCUUAUUGGCCAAUCAUAUAUCUUCUUUCAGGGGAUGCCUUUUCCUUGUAUUUUGCCCAUUUAAAAGGUUGUGUUGUUUGUCUUUUUACUAUUGAGUUGAAGGAGUUCCUUAUGUAUUUUGGAUAAAGAUCUUUCGAUAGAUAUAUGCAUUACAAAUAUUUUCUCUCUGUCUACGUAUUGCCUAGGUUUUUUCUUAGCAGUGUCCUUUGAUGAGCAGAUAAUUUUAACUUAGAUGAAGUCUGAUUCACCGAUUUUUCUGUGAUGUUUAGUGCUGUUCUGGUAAGAAUAUUCCUCUAUUAGUAAUUGGUAAAACGAGUAAAUAGUACAUUUAAAAAUAAACCAUGACCCAAAGGAGAAAGAACAAGGGAAAUAAAAUAUUUUGAACUGAAUGUUAAUAAAAAUACAUAUUAAACCAUCCCAUAUUUGUGAGAUACAGAGCUGAAUCAGUGCCUAGAAUGGAAUUUGUAGUCUAACAUGCUUACAGCUUAAAAUAAAUUAUUUAGGGUGCCCUAAGUGGCUUAGUUGGUUAAGCAUUUGCCUUCAGCUCAGGUCAUGAUCCCAGGAUCCUGGGGUAGAGCCCCACAUCAGGCUCUCUGCUCGGCAGGGAGCCUGCUUCUCCUGCUCCCUCUGCCUGCCCCUCCUCAUUUGUGCUCUCUCUUUCUGUGUGUCGAAUAAAUAAAUAAAUAAAUAAAAUCUUUAAAAAAAUAACUUACUGAAGCUUCCACCUUACAAAGCAAAAGGAAAUAAAUAAGAGUAAAUUAAUCCAAGGAAGUUUUUAAAAGGAAACAAUAAAUUUAGGGAAAAUCAAUAAAAUAGAAAAUGAAUCAACCAAUUAAUUCAGGAAAAAUCAGCGUGACCAAAAUUUUGUUCUUAUAAAAGAACAAUUGAGGCAAUAAAGCUCUUCUUGGACUGAUCAAGAAAAAAAAAUCAAUGAAAAAAAUUAGUAAGAUAGAACUUUAAAUCAGUUAAAAAUUCAUUGAUAUAAUAUACUGUGUCACACUAGCAUAGAGGACAACGACCACACUGUUAUCACACUGUUAUCUCAAAAGAUACAGAAAAAGCAUUUGACUAAAAUCUAUUACCCUUUCAUGACAAAAGUGCUCAACAAAUUAGGAAUAGAAGGAAAAUUCCUCAACCUGAUAAAUACUUCUAUGAAAGUCCCCCCAGAGAACAUGAUACAUAUCGGUAAAACACUGAAUGUGUUCUGCUAAGGAACAGAAACAAGACAAUGGUGUUUGUUCUCAUCACUUCACCACUUCUUUUUUUUUUUCUUUUUUUUAAGAUUUUAUUUAUUUAUUAAUAAGAGACACAGAGACAGGCAAAGACACAGGCAGAGGGAGAAGCAGGCUCCAUGCAGGGAGCCCGACGUGGGACUCAAUCCCGGGUCUCCAGGACCACACUCUGGGCAGAAGCUGGCGCUAAACCACUGAGCCACCCUGGCUGCCCUGUUCUCACCACUUCUAUUCAACAUUGUAUGGAAGGCUCUAACCUGGGAAGUUAGGCAAGAAAAUAAAAUAAAAGGCAUUCAGAUUGGAAAGGAAGAAGUAAAAUGAUAUGAUCUUGUAUAUUAAAAAAAAAAAGUUCUAGGAAAUUCAUUAAAAACAAUGAACGAUCUAAAAAUAAAAUAAGGAAAACAAGUCCAUUUGCAAUAGUACCAAAAAA
RNAcentral lists this long non-coding RNA (5423 nucleotides) under Canis lupus familiaris (dog). Its description in RNAcentral is "lncRNA (ENSCAFG00000053188.1)". The record is from RNAcentral. Lineage: Eukaryota; Metazoa; Chordata; Mammalia; Carnivora; Canidae.